This 766-nucleotide ribosomal RNA is filed under the name uncultured bacterium. Its description in RNAcentral is "bacterial SSU rRNA". It matches the Rfam family "Bacterial small subunit ribosomal RNA", at positions 61 to 839 of the family's 1533-position model. The record is from RNAcentral.
GUCGACGGUCAAGCUUUGUGGUNNNUACUUAGUGGAGAUAGUGGCGAACGGGUGAGUAACGCGUGGGCAACCUGCCCUGGAGAUCGGGAUAACACCGCGAAAGUGGUGCUAAUACCGGAUAUGCUCUUAGUACCGCAUGGUACAGAGAGGAAAGAAAUUCGCUCCAGGAUGGGCCCGCGUCCCAUUAGCUAGUUGGUGAGGUAACUGCUCACCAAGGCGACGAUGGGUAGCCGGUCUGAGAGGAUGAACGGCCACACUGGAACUGAGACACGGUCCAGACUCCUACGGGAGGCAGCAGUGGGGAAUCUUCCGCAAUGGACGAAAGUCUGACGGAGCAACGCCGCGUGGGUGAUGAAGGUUUUCGGAUUGUAAAACCCUGUCAGGAAGGAAGAUAAUGACGGUACUUCCAAAGGAAGCCCCGGCUAACUACGUGCCAGCAGCCGCGGUAAUACGUAGGGGGCAAGCGUUGUCCGGAAUAACUGGGCGUAAAGAGCACGUAGGCGGUCUUUUAAGUCAGAUGUGAAAUAUCCCGGCUCAACUGGGAGGGUGCAUUUGAUACUGGAAGACUAGAGUGCUGGAGAGGAAAGUGGAAUUCCUAGUGUAGCGGUGAAAUGCGUAGAUAUUAGGAGGAACACCAGUGGCGAAGGCGGCUUUCUGGACUGUAACUGACGCUGAGGUGCGAAAGCCAGGGUAGCAAACGGGAUUAGAUACCCCGGUAGUCCUGGCCGUAAACGAUGGGUACUAGGUGUAGGAGGUAUCNNCCCCU